UUGUAUGGAUUAGUGGCGGACGGGUGAGUAACGCGUGGAUAACCUGCCGUAUACAGGGGGAUAACACUUAGAAAUAGGUGCUAAUACCGCAUAAGCGCACGGUUCCGCAUGGAACAGUGUGAAAAACUCCGGUGGUAUACGAUGGAUCCGCGUCUGAUUAGCCAGUUGGCGGGGUAACGGCCCACCAAAGCGACGAUCAGUAGCCGGCCUGAGAGGGUGAACGGCCACAUUGGGACUGAGACACGGCCCAGACUCCUGCGGGAGGCAGCAGUGGGGGAUAUUGCACAAUGGGGGGAACCCUGAUGCAGCGACGCCGCGUGAACGAAGAAAUAUUUCGGUAUGUAAAGUUCUAUCAGCAGGGAAGAAAAUGACAGUACCUGACCAAGAAGCCCCGGCUAACUACGUGCCAGCAGCCGCGGUAAUACGUAGGGGGCAAGCGUUAUCCGGAUUCACUGGGUGUAAAGGGAGCGUAGACGGCGACGCAAGUCUGGAGUGAAAGCCCGGGGCCCAACCCCGGGACUGCUCUGGAAACUGCGGCGCUGGAGUACGGGAGGGGCAGGCGGAAUUCCUGGUGUAGCGGUGAAAUGCGUAGAUAUCAGGAGGAACACCGGCGGCGAAGGCGGCCUGCUGGACCGUGACUGACGUUGAGGCUCGAGAGCGUGGGGAGCAAACAGGAUUAGAUACCCUGGUAGUCCAUGCCGUAAACGAUGAAUACUAGGUGUUGGGUCACAAAGGCUCCCGCGUGCCGUGGCUGACGCAGUAAGGAUUCCGCUUUGGGAGGACGUUCGCGAGAAUGAAAGUCCAGGGAAUUCACGGGGAUCUGCACAAGCGCUGGAGCAUGUGGUUUAAUUCGAAGCAACGUGAAGAACCUUACCAAGUCUUGACAUCCCGGUGACGCAGGAGUAACAUUCUGUUCCCUACGGGGCACCGGAGACAGGUGGUGCAUGGUCGUUGUCAGCUCGUGUCGUGAGAUGUUGGGUUAAGUCCCGCAACGAGCGCAACCCCUGCGCAUAGUUGCCAGCAGGCAAAGCUGGGCACUCUAUGCGGACCGCCCGGGUUAACCUGGAGGAAGGUGGGGAUGACGUCAAAUCAUCAUGCCCCUUAUGAUUUGGGCUACACACGUGCUACAAUGGCGUAAACAAAGGGAAGCGAAGGAGUGAUCCGGAGCAAAUCUCAGAAAUAACGUCUCAGUUCGGAUUGUAGUCUGCAACUCGACUACAUGAAGCUGGAAUCGCUAGUAAUCGCGGAUCAGAAUGCCGCGGCGAAAAGGUUCCCGGGUCUUGCACACCCCGCCCGUC
RNAcentral lists this ribosomal RNA (1298 nucleotides) under uncultured bacterium. RNAcentral's name for it is "bacterial SSU rRNA". It matches the Rfam family "Bacterial small subunit ribosomal RNA", at positions 83 to 1398 of the family's 1533-position model. The record is from RNAcentral.